UGUGCUGAUGCGGUCAAACAACUGCAUGCCAUCUGUCAUGCCGCCAAUUUCAUCCCUCUUCAGCCCGAAGCUCUCGGCAAGAUGAAGAGGAAAGGUCUCUGCAGCUUGGUCCGUGUGGAUGUCCAGAUAAGAACCAACAUUACUCUUGCAUCUCUCCAGAGGCAGGAAGCCCAUACACACAUCUGGAGAGCAGCUGUGGUACACAAACCCAACCUGAAUAGCUUUGCAAUUGAGGCACCAUGGUGCCUUCCUGCUUGACUGAAGGAAACUCCAGAUAAUGAGGACAAAUUCAAUGCCACGCAUGCAGGAAAAAAUGCAAGGGACGUCCAGGUACAUUGAAAUCAGACUGAAAUUGCCUUCAUCCAACAAUGUAAGAGAACUGUAGAGGAGGGGAUCACCUUUUCUGUCAUUUAGCAUAGAACUGCUUACUGCUUUGCUAAUUAAUUAGAUAUUUGCUUCUACGAUACAUUACCUGCAUGAAUCUGAAAGAUUUUAUAGAGAGAUAAAAAAAAUCAGUAACACUUUAGACAGGGAAAAUUU
Long non-coding RNA from Numida meleagris (helmeted guineafowl), 540 nucleotides. RefSeq lists it as uncharacterized. NCBI's taxonomy places the organism in Eukaryota, Metazoa, Chordata, Aves, Galliformes, Numididae. The record is from RefSeq and is a predicted model, not a curated record. The transcript is spliced from 3 exons.